RNAcentral lists this ribosomal RNA (266 nucleotides) under uncultured Methanolinea sp. RNAcentral's name for it is "partial 16S ribosomal RNA". It matches the Rfam family "Archaeal small subunit ribosomal RNA", at positions 1075 to 1338 of the family's 1478-position model. Lineage: Archaea; Methanobacteriati; Methanobacteriota; Methanomicrobia; Methanomicrobiales; Methanoregulaceae. The record is from RNAcentral.
CCCGGUACGGUGAGUGGGGACGACUGUUGGGACCGCCUCUGCUAAAGAGGAGGAAGGAAUGGGCAACGGUAGGUCAGCAUGCCCCGAAUUAUCCGGGCUACACGCGGGCUACAAUGGUCAGGACAAUGGGUAUCGACACCGAGAGGUGGAGGCAAUCUCCUAAACCUGUCCUUAGUUCGGAUUGUGGGCUGCAACUCGCCCACAUGAAGCUGGAAUCCGUAGUAAUCGCGUUUCAAAAUAGCGCGGUGAAUAUGUCCCUGCUCCUU